RNAcentral lists this unclassified non-coding RNA (216 nucleotides) under plant metagenome. RNAcentral describes it as "partial contains small subunit ribosomal RNA and internal transcribed spacer 1". The stretch from base 1 to 46 matches the Rfam family "Eukaryotic small subunit ribosomal RNA", at positions 1786 to 1831 of the family's 1831-position model. The record is from RNAcentral.
AAGUCGUAACAAGGUUUCCGUAGGUGAACCUGCGGAAGGAUCAUUAUUGAAUAUGUGUUGUGGAAGGUGGUCAAACACGUUCCGCAAUUUUCAUAAAAUCCUGUGAACUUGGAAAUUGUUUAUUGUUUGGCAGAGUGGGUGUUUACAUCUCCUGCCAGCAGUAUAUUUAAACCAUUUUGAUUGAAGUUGUCUGAAAACAAAAAAAAUUGCUAAAAA